This 484-nucleotide ribosomal RNA is filed under the name uncultured bacterium. RNAcentral describes it as "partial 16S ribosomal RNA". It matches the Rfam family "Bacterial small subunit ribosomal RNA", at positions 30 to 507 of the family's 1533-position model. The record is from RNAcentral.
AUUGAACGCUGGCGGCAGGCCUAACACAUGCAAGUCGAGCGGAUGAAGGGAGCUUGCUCCUGGAUUCAGCGGCGGACGGGUGAGUAAUGCCUAGGAAUCUGCCUGGUAGUGGGGGAUAACGUCCGGAAACGGGCGCUAAUACCGCAUACGUCCUGCGGGAGAAAGUGGGGGAUCUUCGGACCUCACGCUAUCAGAUGAGCCUAGGUCGGAUUAGCUAGUUGGUGGGGUAAAGGCCUACCAAGGCGACGAUCCGUAACUGGUCUGAGAGGAUGAUCAGUCACACUGGAACUGAGACACGGUCCAGGCUCCUACGGGAGGCAGCAGUGGGGAAUAUUGGACAGUGGGCGAAAGCCUGAUCCAGCCAUGCCGCGUGUGUGAAGAAGGUCUUCGGAUUGUAAAGCACUUUAAGUUGGGAGGAAGGGCAGUAAGUUAAUACCUUGCUGUUUUGACGUUACCAACAGAAUAAGCACCGGCUAACUUCGUG